Long non-coding RNA from Notolabrus celidotus (New Zealand spotty), 1269 nucleotides. RefSeq lists it as uncharacterized. The transcript is spliced from 4 exons. The record is from RefSeq and is a predicted model, not a curated record. NCBI's taxonomy places the organism in Eukaryota, Metazoa, Chordata, Actinopteri, Labriformes, Labridae.
ACUGAGCUUUGGUCUUUUUCUUUUUAUCUUUUUAACAACACUGUCGUUUGUCUCCCCGCAACGUACAUAGAGGAAGUUUACAAAGCACCGCCUGCCCACUUUUACCUGCCAUUGUGCCAGCAAAUCAAACCUUAAGCUGUUCGUGUUUACAGGAAGGGAUUGUUUGACGUGAAAUGGAGUCUCACACACAAGAGAGGUAAACUAGGAUUCUGUUUUCCCUGAUACUACCAAAGGACUUCUCAGCCAUGGACAUCAUCUUUGCUGCCCUGGCGUUCUACCUUCUGGCCUUCUCCUUUGCUUCCGCUCAAUUAGAUAAAGGGGAUUUGAAUGCCACAGUAACACCUCCAACAACUGGCUUAAACCUGACUCACACAUCUACUAUUAUUACUCCAUCUAACUCGACUACGCAUGUAACUGUUAUCUCAAACCUGACUGACAACACGGACCCCAUUUUCCAGCACGACUCGGGGCAAUGAAACAACCACCAAAACUACAUCAACCACAACUGAGGGCACCAGUCAUCUCCAGACUACACCGUCGACAAGCAUCGCAACAACUCGAAUAAAUCUUACAUCGCUGACAACUGCAUCACCUGGCACAAACACACCGACAUUUACUGCACUGACAACAGCAUCUGCACAGACCACAGGGGACGUAACUUCCCCUGAUACCACAGUGAAAACGACCGCUAGUUCAUCUCACACUGUCAACACGACCUCAGACUCAAUGUUCAGAACCAAACAAGGUUUAGGCCUAACAGUUCAGAAGUCAAUAUGACGAUUGUCUUCAGCGUCGUGCUCGGGGUGUUUGCCGUGGUCCUGGUCUGUUCAUCGUUCCAGAGAUGCAAACACAGAAUCCAGUACUUGCCUCAACCUCUAACCAACACUGAUGAUGCAGAUGGAUUUGUGACAGAUGAAGACACACUUGUCAUUUCCGGAGGACUUUAUGACGGCCAUCCGAUAUAUGACAAUGUGCCAACAGCCCCUGAAGAGCAGUCUCAAUUCCGUCUGGAGUUCCUUCACUGAGCAGAACAGAUCUUGUUCAGUGAGAUGACACCGUUGGUGCUGGAGCAGCAUUGGACGAUAUAAAAUGCAAGACUGAAAUUUCAUUCAAAGAGAGGAAGGGAAACUGUUCUCAUUCAUGACAACACUGAAGGAUUUAAACUUUACUUUUACUUUUAUACUACCAGGAUACAUGAAUAUAUUAGCUACAUUAAGAUAGAACAACAACGAUGUCAAUCUGAGCCAAAUAAAUGAGAUUCCAUUUGAA